CCCUGAGUAGUGCAAAUAGCUAAGUGCUUGGCUGCAAACCAAAAGGUUGGUGGUUUGAACCCACCCACAGGCG
RNAcentral lists this transfer RNA (73 nucleotides) under Loxodonta africana (African savanna elephant). It matches the Rfam family "tRNA". From Rfam's summary of the family: Transfer RNA (tRNA) molecules are approximately 80 nucleotides in length. Lineage: Eukaryota; Metazoa; Chordata; Mammalia; Proboscidea; Elephantidae. The record is from Rfam by way of RNAcentral.